CAGCUAUCUACUGGUUGAACUUACAGGUGGCAGCGAUUUGUCGAACAUAUCAACAGUCCUAGAUUCAUGCUUGAAUUUUCGGCCGUCAUUCUAAUAUUCAUCCUAGUCAACAAGAUAAUGGCCUGAGAAAUGUGUGCUGUCGGGACAAACGUUGUCAACUCCGUCAGUCAAAUGUACAGAUACAUAGUUGACAGAUGCUCUAUCAUCUCCCUCAAUCGAAGGUAUCCUAUCCUUCCCCACUAGCCAUUUGCAUAAAGAUGUCAAAAAACAGUUAACUUGGCUAUGGUCGUUAUAUAAACAAGUUGUGGUGCCAACAAAAUAAUUGACAAGGCCGCAUUUGUAUCAUGUUUGUUGCCAUGGAAUCAUAUGAUAGUCAAUGUUUUUCUUUCUUGAUUAUCUGUAUUUUGUUUCUGGUA
RNAcentral lists this long non-coding RNA (416 nucleotides) under Linum usitatissimum (flax). RNAcentral describes it as "long non-coding RNA (LUSI_LNC001491)". The record is from RNAcentral. Lineage: Eukaryota; Viridiplantae; Streptophyta; Magnoliopsida; Malpighiales; Linaceae.